AAGAUAGCCAGUCAUGGAGGAUAAUGCUGCAGCUGGAGGUGGUAGCAGCAGGAGUGAGUUACUGUCCACAGGGAGGGAGCUGUUAAUGGAAUGUGGAAGGAUAAAGCCUGGAGAGGAGGCUGCCUUGACAGGGCAGUGACCUUCAGCUAAGGGACACAGCAGCCCUAAUCAGGCCUGCAUUGAGGCAGCAACAGAAAUAAAUCUUUGGUCUGCCAGGACUCUCCUUGCCAAAUCCAACCAGAUGCCCCAGGCACAGAUGUCUGCUGAUCUCUCCAAGGAAACCAGCCUCCCAGGUUGGAGCACUGAAGGUCUCUAGCAGAUGCACUAUUGUUUUUGCUGUGCUCUCUGGGAAGAGAAGAGGUAGGUGAGGAACAGUUUCCAGGCUUCUACCUGCCACUUUCUCCAACAAUCCACAGGCUGGGGAAGCAAUGCAGUGUCCAGAUGUGCUGAAUUACUGCAGGCCACUGUAGAAAUGAGUAGGUCACAGUCACCAUGGUCUAAACCUUCUCCUGCUGGGGCUGCAGCCAGUAUCACCUUCAAACUUCAACAGCCCCAGUGGAUCUCACCCAGAUCCAGCCAAUACUUUCUGCCACCAGGAGGGUAUGCCCUUUUACCAGCAGUGCCUGGCUGAACUCCUCUGUGUUCAUCUGUGAUAAAGCUCCUCUGGUGCAUCCUGUUUACUAGUCCAGCUUGCUGAGAGGUGCACUCCCGUGCAUCUGCAGGAUCUAUAUUCUCUGGUCUCCUAGUCUGUGCCAGCUUUAUUUCUGAUGCCAGUGAGACAAGGAUAACAGCCCAUAGGGAUGGCAGGGUUUGGAACCUGGCAGAGGGGAGAGCAGCUGCCUCUGGAACAGGACCCCUGACCUGGAAAACCCUG
Molecule: long non-coding RNA, 874 nt
Filed under: Heterocephalus glaber (naked mole-rat)
Lineage: Eukaryota; Metazoa; Chordata; Mammalia; Rodentia; Bathyergidae
Description: lncRNA (ENSHGLG00000039369.1)
Source: RNAcentral